CAAGUCCCUUUAACAUUGACAGCAAAUGUUUUGUUUUGGAAGUUAAAUUAAUACUGGCUAAAUUUGCAGGUGUGUUAUUGUUUUAAAUUGAGAUGGUGAACAGAUACUUCAUGAAUUAUAUGAAUCACCAGGGAAAGGACCCAACUACUUGCACAGAUGCAUCCUGGCGGGUGAAAGAAGGGAUGAUCACUUUGGCAACAGAUUGUUCAACUGCUUAAAUGUUGAUGUGGACUCAGUCAAAGAAUUUGCUGUAACUGUGUAUGUCUCUUCACUAUGUGGACAUAAAGUGCUACAGCUGGUUGGAGAUUAAGAUCAC
Dreissena polymorpha is the source of this 316-nucleotide long non-coding RNA. RefSeq lists it as uncharacterized. The record is from RefSeq and is a predicted model, not a curated record. NCBI's taxonomy places the organism in Eukaryota, Metazoa, Mollusca, Bivalvia, Myida, Dreissenidae. The transcript has 3 exons.